GGGUGCUCUUGGCUUAUUUGCCAAGAUGCCGAGGUAAAUAAGACAAAGCCCCGAAUGAACUAUAAAUUCAAACGAGGCUUAUAUCAUGUUUCCUAACAAGACUGAUCUUAGCCUCUAUUUAGCUAAGAGGCAAGUUAUAUGCUACGAAAG
Molecule: non-coding RNA, 150 nt
Organism: Photobacterium damselae subsp. damselae CIP 102761
Lineage: Bacteria; Pseudomonadati; Pseudomonadota; Gammaproteobacteria; Vibrionales; Vibrionaceae
Rfam family: sok antitoxin (CssrC)
About the family: Also identified in Shigella as CssrC.
Source: Rfam